This 202-nucleotide ribosomal RNA is filed under the name uncultured prokaryote. Its description in RNAcentral is "partial 16S ribosomal RNA". It matches the Rfam family "Bacterial small subunit ribosomal RNA", at positions 524 to 724 of the family's 1533-position model. The record is from RNAcentral.
UACGGGGGGAGCAAGCGUUGUUCGGAUUUACUGGGCGUAAAGGGCGCGUAGGCGGCCACCGCAAGUCAAUUGUGAAAUCUCCGGGCUUAACUCGGAAAGGUCAACUGAUACUGCGGGGCUAGAGUGCAGAAGGGGCAACUGGAAUUCUCGGUGUAGCGGUGAAAUGCGUAGAUAUCGUAAGGAAGACCAGUGGCGAAGGCGG